UGGCGACCGGCGCACGGGUGCGUAACGCGUAUGCAACCUACCCAUAACAGGGGGAGUAACACUGAGAAAUUGGUACUAAUACCCCAUAACAUCAGGACCGGCAUCGGUUCUGGUUGAAAACUCCGGUGGUUAUGGAUGGGCAUGCGUUGUAUUAGCUGGUUGGUGAGGUAACGGCUCACCAAGGCAACGAUACAUAGGGGGACUGAGAGGUUAACCCCCCACAUUGGUACUGAGACACGGACCAA
RNAcentral lists this ribosomal RNA (245 nucleotides) under uncultured bacterium. RNAcentral describes it as "partial 16S ribosomal RNA". It matches the Rfam family "Bacterial small subunit ribosomal RNA", at positions 89 to 334 of the family's 1533-position model. The record is from RNAcentral.